This 253-nucleotide ribosomal RNA is filed under the name uncultured bacterium. RNAcentral's name for it is "partial 16S ribosomal RNA". It matches the Rfam family "Bacterial small subunit ribosomal RNA", at positions 524 to 776 of the family's 1533-position model. The record is from RNAcentral.
UACGGAGGGUGCAAGCGUUGUUCGGAAUCACUGGGCGUAAAGGGCGUGUAGGCGGCCUGUUAAGUCUGAUGUGAAAUCCCCUCGCUCAACGAGGGAACUGCGUCGGAAACUGGCAGGCUUGAGUACCGGAGAGGAAGGUGGAAUUCCCGGUGUAGCGGUGAAAUGCGUAGAUAUUCGCAAGAACACCAGUGGCGAAGGCGGCUCACUGGCCCGAUACUGACGCUGAGGCACGAAAGCGUGGGGAGCAAACAGG